GCACUGAGACACUGGCCAGACUCCUACGGGAGGCUGCAGUCGAGGAUCUUCGGCAAUGGGCGCAAGCCUGACCGAGCGACGCCGCGUGUGCGAUGAAAGGCCUUCGGGUUGUAAAGCACUGUCGAGGGGGAGUAAGCCGAAAGGUUGAACUAUCCCUGGAGGAAGCACGGGCUAAGUUCGUGCCAGCUNCCGCGGUAAGACGNACCGUGCGAACGUUGUUCGGAAUCACUGGGCUUAAAGGGCGCGUANGCGGGUUUGCAAGUCUGCGGUGAAAGCCCCCAGCUUAACUGGGGAAGUGCCGUGGAUACU
Molecule: ribosomal RNA, 309 nt
Filed under: uncultured Planctomycetota bacterium
Lineage: Bacteria; Pseudomonadati; Planctomycetota
Description: bacterial SSU rRNA
Rfam family: Bacterial small subunit ribosomal RNA
Source: RNAcentral